CAGUAGCCGCGGGAAUACGUAGGUCCCGAGCGUUGUCCGGAUUUAUUGGGCGUAAAGGGAGCGCAGGCGGUUUAGUAAGUCUGAAGUUAAAGGCAUUGGCUCAACCAAUGUAUGCUUUGGAAACUGUUAGACUUGAGUGCAGAAGGGGAGAGUGGAAUUCCAUGUGUAGCGGUGAAAUGCGUAGGUAUAUGGAGGAACACCGGUGGCGAAAGCGGCUCUCUGGUCUGUCACUGACGCUGAGGCUCGAAAGCGUGGGUAGCGAACAGGAUUAGAUACCCCAGUAGUCCCUGUCUCUUAUACA
This 301-nucleotide ribosomal RNA is filed under the name uncultured bacterium. Its description in RNAcentral is "partial 16S ribosomal RNA". It matches the Rfam family "Bacterial small subunit ribosomal RNA", at positions 509 to 808 of the family's 1533-position model. The record is from RNAcentral.